This 411-nucleotide ribosomal RNA is filed under the name Buchnera aphidicola (Hyalopterus sp.). RNAcentral's name for it is "bacterial SSU rRNA". It matches the Rfam family "Bacterial small subunit ribosomal RNA", at positions 76 to 476 of the family's 1533-position model. Lineage: Bacteria; Pseudomonadati; Pseudomonadota; Gammaproteobacteria; Enterobacterales; Erwiniaceae. The record is from RNAcentral.
GAGCUUGCUCUCUUUGUCGGCAAGCGGCAAACGGGUGAGUAAUAUCUGGGGAUCUGCCCAAAAGAGGGGGAUAACUACUAGAAAUGGUAGCUAAUACCGCAUAAAGUUGAAAAACCAAAGUGGGGGACCUUUAUAAGGCCUCAUGCUUUUGGAUGAACCCAGACGAGAUUAGCUUGUUGGUAAGGUAAAGGCUUACCAAGGCAACGAUCUCUAGCUGGUCUGAGAGGAUAACCAGCCACACUGGAACUGAGACACGGUCCAGACUCCUACGGGAGGCAGCAGUGGGGAAUAUUGCACAAUGGGCGAAAGCCUGAUGCAGCUAUGCCGCGUGUAUGAAGAAGGCCUUAGGGUUGUAAAGUACUUUCAGCAGGGAGGAAAAAGAUAAUACUAAUAAUAUUAUUUCGUGACGUU